GAUGAACGCUGGCGGCGUGCCUAAUACAUGCAAGUCGAGCGAACGGACGAGAAGCUUGCUUCUCUGAUGUUAGCGGCGGACGGGUGAGUAACACGUGGAUAACCUACCUAUAAGACUGGGAUAACUUCGGGAAACCGGAGCUAAUACCGGAUGAUAUUUUGAACCGCAUGGUUCAAAAGUGAAAGACGGUCUUGCUGUCACUUAUAGAUGGAUCCGCGCUGCAUUAGCUAGUUGGUAAGGUAACGGCUUACCAAGGCAACGAUGCAUAGCCGACCUGAGAGGGUGAUCGGCCACACUGGAACUGAGACACGGUCCAGACUCCUACGGGAGGCAGCAGUAGGGAAUCUUCCGCAAUGGGCGAAAGCCUGACUGAGCAACGCCGCGUGAGCGAUGAAGGUCUUCGGAUCGUAAAACUCUGUUAUUAGGGAAGAACAUAUGUGUAAGUAACUGUGCACAUCUUGACGGUACCUAAUCAGAAAGCCACGGCUAACUACGUG
This 497-nucleotide ribosomal RNA is filed under the name uncultured bacterium. Its description in RNAcentral is "partial 16S ribosomal RNA". It matches the Rfam family "Bacterial small subunit ribosomal RNA", at positions 28 to 507 of the family's 1533-position model. The record is from RNAcentral.